This 350-nucleotide ribosomal RNA is filed under the name Escherichia coli. Its description in RNAcentral is "bacterial SSU rRNA". It matches the Rfam family "Bacterial small subunit ribosomal RNA", at positions 1 to 347 of the family's 1533-position model. RNAcentral also lists the same sequence under 1 other name. The record is from RNAcentral. Lineage: Bacteria; Pseudomonadati; Pseudomonadota; Gammaproteobacteria; Enterobacterales; Enterobacteriaceae.
AAAUUGAAGAGUUUGAUCAUGGCUCAGAUUGAACGCUGGCGGCAGGCCUAACACAUGCAAGUCGAACGGUAACAGGAAGCAGCUUGCUGCUUCGCUGACGAGUGGCGGACGGGUGAGUAAUGUCUGGGAAACUGCCUGAUGGAGGGGGAUAACUACUGGAAACGGUAGCUAAUACCGCAUAACGUCGCAAGACCAAAGAGGGGGACCUUCGGGCCUCUUGCCAUCGGAUGUGCCCAGAUGGGAUUAGCUAGUAGGUGGGGUAACGGCUCACCUAGGCGACGAUCCCUAGCUGGUCUGAGAGGAUGACCAGCCACACUGGAACUGAGACACGGUCCAGACUCCUACGGGAG